UGCGGUCUGCGCCUUUUGACAGGAAAUCACAAUCCCUGGGGCCAUACCCGAUCUUGAGGGAGCUGUCCCUGAUCAGGCCCGUGGGCUUGGUUACACGGCGCCCACCUACUUUGUAGGCUCCCAGGAUCGUUCAUACUUCCAUCGGAGGCGUGGAUCGUAU
RNAcentral lists this non-coding RNA (160 nucleotides) under Heterorhizobium halophytocola. Its description in RNAcentral is "Rhizobium halophytocola 6S RNA". It matches the Rfam family "6S / SsrS RNA". Rfam says of the family: E. coli 6S RNA was the first non coding RNA to be sequenced, but its function was unknown until recently. It consists of 184 nucleotides that fold into an extended hairpin structure with a large single-stranded internal bulge. Lineage: Bacteria; Pseudomonadati; Pseudomonadota; Alphaproteobacteria; Hyphomicrobiales; Rhizobiaceae. The record is from RNAcentral.